Long non-coding RNA from Talpa occidentalis (Iberian mole), 569 nucleotides. RefSeq lists it as uncharacterized. The transcript is spliced from 4 exons. The record is from RefSeq and is a predicted model, not a curated record. Lineage: Eukaryota; Metazoa; Chordata; Mammalia; Eulipotyphla; Talpidae.
UCCUGGCUGACAUUAACGGCGGGGCACCCCCUCUCUCCCCAGCAACUUUUACCAAGACUUGUCUCCCUGCGGCCCUUAGGUUUCAGGGUCGCGUUUCAUUCUGAGUGAGACUUGGAGCCUGGAAGUCGGCUGGUUACUGAGGUGCUCGCUCCGGCUCCGGUUCUAAAGUCUGCCUGGGAACCUGACCUCUGGGUCAGAAACUAGUUACAGGAAAGUACCUAAUACCUAAAAUAAGUAUCCCUGUCCAGGACACUGUCUGGCGACCUUUAUAGGUGAGAGCGCAGAGCAGAGCAGAAACCUGGAGAUUACAGAUUUGUCCGUGUUCUUCCCCUCCACAUCUAAGCCUCAAUUCCAGGGAUCCAAGAGCAAAUCCCCCUUUAGGAGCAUCUGGACAGGCACUGUUUUAUACCUACACAUCCAAAAGAGCCACCAGCCAUGUGUUAACAGACAAUUGGUCACUUAAAGUGUGGUGUGUAUGAACGGAGAUGUAAUAGCCAGAGCGGAGAGCAGAACAGGCAGACUGAUGAAGUACACUGCUGAGGGGAGCGGCAGGAGAGGUCUGCGCGCCU